GAAAACUCACCAGCAGCGACUAUUACAUGAAAGUCAGGCCGAUGACCUUACUAGAUUUUUAGAGAGGUGGUGCAUGGCCGUCGUCAGUUCGUACCGUAAGGCGUUCUCUUAAGUGAGAUAACGAACGAGACCCUCACCAAUAAUUGCUACUGCGUCGUCCGCGGCGUAGGCACAUUAUUGGGACCGCUGGCGCUAAGUCAGAGGAAGGAGAGGUCAACGGUAGGUCAGUAUGCCCCGAAUCUGCUGGGCUACACGCGCGCUACAAAGGGCGGGACAAUGGGCUCCGACACCGAAAGGUGAAGGCAAUCUCGAAACCCGUCCGUAGUUCGGAUUGAGGGUUGUAACUCACCCUCAUGAAGCUGGAUUCCGUAGUAAUCGCGAAUCAACAACUCGCGGUGAAUAUGCCCCUGCUCCUUGCACACACCGCCCGUCAAACCAUCCGAGUUGGGUUUCAGUGAGGUCGCCUCCCUUUGGGGUGUUCGAACUGGGAUUCAGCAAGGAAGGUUAAGUCGUAACAAGGUAGCCGU
Molecule: ribosomal RNA, 527 nt
Filed under: uncultured archaeon
Lineage: Archaea
Description: bacterial SSU rRNA
Rfam family: Archaeal small subunit ribosomal RNA
Source: RNAcentral